GACGAACCGUGCGAACGUUGUUCGGAAUCACUGGGCUUAAAGGGCGCGUAGGCGGACCACCCAGUCCGGGGUGAAAUCUUUCGGCUCAACCGGAAAAGGGCCUUGGAUACUGGUGGUCUGGAGGAAGGUAGGGGCAUGCGGAACUUCCGGUGGAGCGGUGAAAUGCGUUGAUAUCGGAAGGAACGCCGGUGGCGAAAGCGGCGUGCUGGACCUUUUCUGACGCUGAUGCGCGAAAGCCAGGGGAGCGAACGGG
This 253-nucleotide ribosomal RNA is filed under the name uncultured bacterium. Its description in RNAcentral is "partial 16S ribosomal RNA". It matches the Rfam family "Bacterial small subunit ribosomal RNA", at positions 524 to 776 of the family's 1533-position model. The record is from RNAcentral.